GCGGGACGCGCUGGCGGCGCUGCUGCGGCACGCGCUGGCCCGCGCCGCGCCCGCGCCGCUCUACCUGGUGCCGCUGCUGCGCGCGCUGGCGCCCUCCCAGCCGCUCAACUUGCGCUGGCUGGCCGCGCAGGUGGUGGUCGACGAGAGCGAGGCGCUGCGGGCGAGCGCGGCCGAGCUGCGCGCGCCGCUGCUCGAUGUCGCGCUGUUCACGCCGCCGAUCUCCGCGCUGCACCUGGAUAUCCUGGCGGCGGUGGCGGCGUGGGACGAGGCGGGGGCGGCG
This is a long non-coding RNA of Colias croceus (clouded yellow), 280 nucleotides long. RefSeq lists it as uncharacterized. Lineage: Eukaryota; Metazoa; Arthropoda; Insecta; Lepidoptera; Pieridae. The record is from RefSeq and is a predicted model, not a curated record. The transcript has 3 exons.